This 610-nucleotide ribosomal RNA is filed under the name Methanobrevibacter oralis. RNAcentral's name for it is "bacterial SSU rRNA". It matches the Rfam family "Archaeal small subunit ribosomal RNA", at positions 314 to 922 of the family's 1478-position model. The record is from RNAcentral. Lineage: Archaea; Methanobacteriati; Methanobacteriota; Methanobacteria; Methanobacteriales; Methanobacteriaceae.
UCCAGGGCCCUACGGGGCGCAGCAGGCGCGAAACCUCCGCAAUGUGAGAAAUCGCGACGGGGGGAUCCCAAGUGCCAUUCUUAACGGGAUGGCUUUUCAUUAGUGUAAAGAGCUUUUGGAAUAAGAGCUGGGCAAGACCGGUGCCAGCCGCCGCGGUAACACCGGCAGCUCUAGUGGUAGCAGUUAUUAUUGGGCCUAAAGCGUCCGUAGCCGGUUUAAUAAGUCUCUGGUGAAAUCCUGUAGCUUAACUAUGGGAAUUGCUGGAGAUACUAUUAGACUUGAGAUCGGGAGAGGUUAGAGGUACUCCCAGGGUAGAGGUGAAAUUCUGUAAUCCUGGGAGGACCGCCUGUUGCGAAGGCGUCUAACUGGAACGAUUCUGACGGUGAGGGACGAAAGUUAGGGGCGCGAACCGGAUUAGAUACCCGGGUAGUCCUAACUGUAAACGAUGCGGACUUGGUGUUGGGAUGGCUUUGAGCUGUCUCAGUGCCGAAGGGAAGCUGUUAAGUCCGCCGCCUGGGAAGUACGGUCGCAAGACUGAARCUUAAAGGAAUUGGCGGGGGAGCACCCACCAACGCGUGGAGCCUGCGGUUUAAUUGGAUUCAACGCCCGG